Molecule: long non-coding RNA, 591 nt
Filed under: Papio anubis (olive baboon)
Lineage: Eukaryota; Metazoa; Chordata; Mammalia; Primates; Cercopithecidae
Description: lncRNA (ENSPANG00000051264.1)
Source: RNAcentral
AUGUGUUCAAGCGAUUCCUCUACCUCAGACUCCGGAGUAGCUGGGACUACAGGUGGUGGCAAUAUCCUUGAAGAGACUAAAAGAACUCAGAACAGCACUGAACAAGCCAGCAGAGCCGUCACACUCACCCCUACAGUCUCCACAGACAAAGUCCAUGAAAGCAUUGGCCAUUGGCUUUCACUGGCGUGGAUGUGUCACCAGUGGGGUAGAGUUGUUCCUGUCUCUGACACUAUUAGUUCAUUCUCACACUGCUAUUAAAACAAACAAACAAACAAAAAACUUAAGACUGGGUAAUUUAUGAAGAAGAGAGGUUUAAUUGGCUCAUGAUUCUGCAGGCUAUACAGGAAGCAUCAUGGCUUCUGCUUCUGGGGAGGCCUCAGAGGCUUCCAAUCAUGGCGGAAGCCCAAGUGGGCACAAGGGGCUCCACAUGGCCGCAGCAGGAGGAAGAGAGACAGCAGGUAGGUGCCACACACUUUCAAACAACCAGAUCUCAAGAGAACUUACUAUGGUGAUGACAGUACCAGGGGAUGGUGUUAAACCAUGAGAAACCACUCCCAUGACCCAAUCGCCGCCCACCAGGCCCCACCUCCA